RNAcentral lists this transfer RNA (86 nucleotides) under Acholeplasmataceae bacterium. RNAcentral's name for it is "tRNA-Leu". It matches the Rfam family "tRNA". From Rfam's summary of the family: Transfer RNA (tRNA) molecules are approximately 80 nucleotides in length. Their secondary structure includes four short double-helical elements and three loops (D, anti-codon, and T loops). Further hydrogen bonds mediate the characteristic L-shaped molecular structure. tRNAs have two regions of fundamental functional importance: the anti-codon, which is responsible for specific mRNA codon recognition, and the 3' end, to which the tRNAs corresponding amino acid is attached (by aminoacyl-tRNA synthetases). tRNAs cope with the degeneracy of the genetic code in two manners: having more than one tRNA (with a specific anti-codon) for a particular amino acid; and 'wobble' base-pairing, i.e. permitting non-standard base-pairing at the 3rd anti-codon position. RNAcentral also lists the same sequence under 1 other name. Lineage: Bacteria; Bacillati; Mycoplasmatota; Mollicutes; Acholeplasmatales; Acholeplasmataceae. The record is from RNAcentral.
GCGGAGGUGGCGGAAUGGUAGACGCGUAUGUUUGAGGGGCAUAUAGCUUUUGGGCUGUGAGGGUUCAAGUCCCUUUCUCCGCACCA